Nycticebus coucang (slow loris) is the source of this 105-nucleotide small nuclear RNA. The record is from RefSeq and is a predicted model, not a curated record. NCBI's taxonomy places the organism in Eukaryota, Metazoa, Chordata, Mammalia, Primates, Lorisidae.
GCCCACUUUGGCAGGAUAUAUACUAAAAUUGGACCAAUACAGAGAAGAUUAGCAUGGCCCUUGUGCAAGGAUGACAUGCAAAUUCAUGAAGUGCUCCCUAUUAAA